RNAcentral lists this long non-coding RNA (1866 nucleotides) under Zonotrichia albicollis (white-throated sparrow). Its description in RNAcentral is "lncRNA (ENSZALG00000007486.1)". The record is from RNAcentral. Lineage: Eukaryota; Metazoa; Chordata; Aves; Passeriformes; Passerellidae.
GGGAUGAGUUUUGGGAUGAGGAUGAUGAUGAAGGCUCGCAUGAGGUCCCAGGGGGGGAUUUGGAUUGGGACAGGGAUGAGUUUUGGGGUGAGGAUGAUGAUGAAGGCUCACACGAGGUUACAGGGGGAUUUGGAUUGGGACAGGGCUGAGUUCUGGGAUGAGGAUGAUGAUGAAGGCUCACAUGAGGUCCCAGAGGAUUGGGAUGGGGAUGAGGAUGAGUUUUGGGAUGAGGAUGAUGAUGAAGGCUCGCAUGAGGUCCCAGGGGGAUUUGGAUUGGGACAGGGAUGAGUUUUGGGAUGAGGAUGAUGCAGAUGACACUGAUGAAGGCUCACACGAGGUGCCAGGGGAUUUGGAUUGGAACAGGGAUGAGUUUUGGGGUGAGGAUGAUGAUGAAGGCUCACAUGAGGUCCCAGGGGAUUUGGAUUGGGCUGAGUUUUGGGAUGAGGACUGGGGUGAGGAUGAUGAGGAUGAGGACGAAGGCUCUCACAUGAGGUCCCACUCGAUGGCCGCCUGCUCCAGCUGCUCCAUCAGCUCCGCCAGGCGGCUGCGGAAGAAAACCUCGAAGCGCAGAUCGUCCUCGAACACCAGCGAGCGCUGCAGGCCCCGCGCCGAGAUCUGGAAUUCCCACAUUUGGGAUUGGGGAUUGGGGAUGGAGCCUGGGAAUUCCGGGGGUUCUGGGAUUUGGGAUGGAUCCUGGGAAUUCCAGGGGUUCUGGGAUGUGGGAUGGAUCCCGGGAAUUCCAGGGAUUCUGGGAUUUGGGAAGGAUCCCGGGAAUUCCGGGGAUUCUGGGAUUUGGGGAGGAUCCCAGGAAUUCCAGGGAAUUCCAGGGAUUCUGGGAUUUGGGAUGGAUUCAAAAAAUUCCAGGGAAUUCCAGGAAUUUGGGAUGAAUCCCAAAAAUUCUAGGGGUUCUGGGAUUUGGGAUGGAUCAAAAAAAUUCCAGGGGUUCUGGGAUAUGGGAUGGAUCCCAAAAAUUCCAGGGAAUUCCAGGGAUUUGGGAUGGAUCCCGAAAAUUCCAGGGAAUUCCAGGGAUUCUGGGAUUUGGGAUGGAUCCCAAAAAUUCCAGGGAAUUCCAGGGAUUCUGGGAUUUGGGAUGGACCCCAGGAGUUCCGGGGAUUCUGGGAUUUGGGAGGGAUCCCAGGAGCGCUGGGAAUUACAGGGAUUUGGGAUGGAUCCCGAAAAUUCCAGCAAUUCCAGGGAUUUGGGAGGGACUCCAGGAAUUCCAAAGAUUUGGGAUGGAUCCCGAAAAUUCCAGGGGUUCUGGGAUUUGGGAUGGAUCCCAAAAAUUCCAGGGAAGUCCAGGGAUUUGGGAUGGAUCCCAAAAAUUCCAGGGGUUCUGGGAUUUGGGAUGGACCCCAGGAAUUCCAGGGAUUCUGGGAUUUGGGAUGGAUCCCAAAAAUUCCAGGGAAUUCCAGGGAUUUGGGAUGGAUCCAAAAAAUUCCAGGGGUUCUGGGAUAUGGGAUGGAUCCAAAAAAUUCCAGGGGUUCUGGGAUUUGGGAUGGACCCAGGAGCACUGGGAAUUCCAGGGAUUUGGGAUGGAUCCUGAAAAUUCCAGGGAUUUCGGGAUUCGGGAUGGAUCCCAAAAAUUCCAGGGGUUCUGGGAUUUGGGGAGGAUCCCGAAAAUUCCAGGGAAUUCCAGGGAUUCUGGGAUUUGGGAUGGAUCCUGAAAAUUCCAGGGAUUCUGGGAUUUGGGAUGGAUCCUGAAAAUUCCAGGGAAUUCCAGGGAUUCUGGGAUUUGGGAUGGAUCCAAAAAAUUCCAGGGAUUCUGGGAUUUGGGAUGGGUCCCGAAAAUUCCAGGGAAUUCCAGGGAUUCUGGGAUUUGGGAAGGAUCACGAAAAUUCCAGGGGUUCCAGGGAUUCGGGAUGGAUC